Molecule: ribosomal RNA, 253 nt
Filed under: uncultured bacterium
Lineage: Bacteria
Description: partial 16S ribosomal RNA
Rfam family: Bacterial small subunit ribosomal RNA
Source: RNAcentral
UACGAAGGGUGCAAGCGUUACUCGGAAUUACUGGGCGUAAAGCGUGCGUAGGUGGUGAGUUAAGUCUGUCGUGAAAUCCCCAGGCUCAACCUGGGAACUGCGUCUGAUACUGGAUGGCUUGAAUCCGGGAGAGGGAUGCAGAAUUCCAGGUGUAGCGGUGAAAUGCGUAGAUAUCUGGAGGAACACCGGUGGCGAAGGCGGCGUUCUGGACUGCAACUGACACUGAGAGACGAAAGCCAGGGGAGCAAACGGG